GCGCGUAGCCUAACACAUGUCAAGUCGAGCGGUAGAGAGAAGCUUGCUUCUCUUGAGAGCGGCGGACGGGUGAGUAAUGCCUAGGAAUCUGCCUGGUAGUGGGGGAUAACGUCCGGAAACGGACGCUAAUACCGCAUACGUCCUACGGGAGAAAGCAGGGGACCUUCGGGCCUUGCGCUAUCAGAUGAGCCUAGGUCGGAUUAGCUAGUUGGUGAGGUAAUGGCUCACCAAGGCGACGAUCCGUAACUGGUCUGAGAGGAUGAUCAGUCACACUGGAACUGAGACACGGUCCAGACUCCUACGGGAGGCAGCAGUGGGGAAUAUUGGACAAUGGGCGAAAGCCUGAUCCAGCCAUGCCGCGUGUGUGAAGAAGGUCUUCGGAUUGUAAAGCACUUUAAGUUGGGAGGAAGGGCAGUUGCCUAAUACGUAACUGUUUUGACGUUACCGACAGAAUAAGCACCGGCUAACUCUGUGCCAGCAGCCGCGGUAAUACAGAGGGUGCAAGCGUUAAUCGGAAUUACUGGGCGUAAAGCGCGCGUAGGUGGUUUGUUAAGUUGGAUGUGAAAUCCCCGGGCUCAACCUGGGAACUGCAUUCAAAACUGACUGACUAGAGUAUGGUAGA
This 622-nucleotide ribosomal RNA is filed under the name Pseudomonas tolaasii. RNAcentral describes it as "bacterial SSU rRNA". It matches the Rfam family "Bacterial small subunit ribosomal RNA", at positions 39 to 655 of the family's 1533-position model. Lineage: Bacteria; Pseudomonadati; Pseudomonadota; Gammaproteobacteria; Pseudomonadales; Pseudomonadaceae. The record is from RNAcentral.